This 738-nucleotide small RNA is filed under the name Pongo abelii (Sumatran orangutan). RNAcentral's name for it is "retained intron". The record is from RNAcentral. Lineage: Eukaryota; Metazoa; Chordata; Mammalia; Primates; Hominidae.
AUUUGGUGAGCGCUGGUGGUUUAUUCUUCCGUGGAGUUAAGGGUUCCGUGGACAUCUCAAGUCUUCAGGGUCUUCCAUCUGGAACUAUAUAAAGUUCAGAAAACAUGGUGAGUUAAUACACAUGCCAAUAAACUGUUGCCUGAUAAACCGUAUUGCUUGUACUCAACUUACAGACUUGUGUGGGAAAAUUGAAAUAGAAGGAAAGCAUUGAGAAGAUGCCUUUUAUCUUGUCAGUUUCCUCUCACCUAUUGAACUUUGUAUAUACCAGGAUAGGUUUUGUAAGAUGAUUUGUAGGCUUGCAGGACUUGGCUUACUUUCAGUGGGUAGGAGUCACUCAUGUGUUUUUCCUUUGUAGUCUCGAAGAUAUGACUCCAGGACCACUAUAUUUUCUCCAGAAGGUAAAAUAGAAAUUGUUUAAUCUGCCUCAAGUUUAAAAAUAGAUGUGUUAGACUUUUAGAAAAAAAAAUUACAAACUAUUUUUGGUAGUUGCAGAGUUCAUCUUUUUUGUACUUUGAAGCAAUUAUGGUCACCAGGUUGGUUAUACCAUAGAAGAGUGAAAGUGGAAAUUUGUUUCUAGCUUGCUUCAUUGCUGAUUUCUUUUGGGCCGGUGGUGCAAGAGCACAGAGGAGAGUCUUGGCUUCUCACUGCUUUUGUUUUGUAGGUCGCUUAUACCAAGUUGAAUAUGCCAUGGAAGCUAUUGGACAUGCAGGCACCUGUUUGGGAAUUUUAGCAAAUGAU